GGAAGUUUCAUUCUAACUUAAUUUUGUAUUAACAAAUGUUCAUUUAUUUAUAAACUGAAGCCACGUAGGAAUCGCAGCUCCUAUGAUCAGCAUAGGUUCCUGGCGAUCACUGUGCCCCACCCCCACUGCCAGCUGCCUUCCUGAUGACAGAGAGAUCAUGGUUUUGGAGAAUGCUACCAGGACAAGAACCCCCCCACCCUGCCACCCUUGUUUGGGACGCUGAAUUCCCUGGGACUUCUGAGUGUACAGACCCUGCACUGCUGCAAGACUCCGUGCAUUCCCAAAACCACAAGCCUCAGACCGGCUGUGAGUGUCUGGGAACUGAUGCCAGGAUUUGACCUCCAGAUGCAGAGGCCUGCCACCCCGACUCCACCUCACCCAUCCUGGCUCCCACAGCCAGUCCACCCUGUUAUCUGCCACAUGCUUCCAAAAGCAGGAAAAACAAGAGGCUCCAGCGUUCUUCCAGCUGGAAAUUGGUUGGCGGAGCAUGGUCCCUGGGGAUUGUGGUGCUGUAGGCUCUGCAGAAGAGCAGGGGUUCACUCAGCAGGAGUAGCGCUGACCCCACCCUGCAGCCCUUCCUUGUGUCUGGAAGUAACUCAGGAGGCCAUGGCAGCAGUUUGCACCCCACCCCCACCCCCGCCCCCGGGUGAGGCCUGUCAGCCCCUCUCUCCUGCCCCUCCUCCUGCCCCUCCUCUGUUGCUCAGUCGGAUCAAAUAAGUGGAUUUUUGGUUUGUUUGUUUGUUUUUAUGAACAAGCUCCUCUAG
This 764-nucleotide long non-coding RNA is filed under the name Cricetulus griseus (Chinese hamster). RNAcentral's name for it is "lncRNA (ENSCGRG00000026051.1)". Lineage: Eukaryota; Metazoa; Chordata; Mammalia; Rodentia; Cricetidae. The record is from RNAcentral.